Molecule: ribosomal RNA, 499 nt
Filed under: uncultured bacterium
Lineage: Bacteria
Description: bacterial SSU rRNA
Rfam family: Bacterial small subunit ribosomal RNA
Source: RNAcentral
GAUGAACGCUAGCUACAGGCUUAACACAUGCAAGUCGAGGGGCAGCAUGUCGGUUGCUUGCAACCGAUGAUGGCGACCGGCGCACGGGUGAGUAACGCGUAUCCAACCUACCCUUGUCCAUCGGAUAACCCGUCGAAAGGCGGCCUAACACGAUAUGCGGUUCUCAGCAGGCAUCUAACGAGAACGAAAUGUGAAGGAGAAGGAUGGGGAUGCGUCUGAUUAGCUUGUUGGCGGGGUAACGGCCCACCAAGGCUACGAUCAGUAGGGGUUCUGAGAGGAAGGUCCCCCACAUUGGAACUGAGACACGGUCCAAACUCCUACGGGAGGCAGCAGUGAGGAAUAUUGGUCAAUGGGGCGAGAGCCUGAACCAGCCAAGUAGCGUGCAGGAUGACGGCCCUAUGGGUUGUAAACUGCUUUUAUAAGGGAAUAAAGUGAGUCUCGUGAGACUUUUUGCAUGUACCUUAUGAAUAAGGACCGGCUAAUUCCGUGCCAGUAGCCG